Molecule: ribosomal RNA, 200 nt
Filed under: uncultured bacterium
Lineage: Bacteria
Description: partial 16S ribosomal RNA
Rfam family: Bacterial small subunit ribosomal RNA
Source: RNAcentral
GAUUAACGCUGGCGGUGUGCCUAAUACAUGCAAGUCGAGCGGGUGCCAGUCUGUAGCAAUACAGAUGAAGCGCUAGCGGCAGACGGGUGAGUAACACGUAGCCAAUCUACCGUUCCGACCGGGAUAACUAUCGAAAGGUUAGCUAAUACCAGAUACGAUCAUCGAGCGGCAUCGUUUGAUGAUGAAAGCAGUAAUGCGCG